This 893-nucleotide long non-coding RNA is filed under the name Elaeis guineensis (African oil palm). Its description in RNAcentral is "long non-coding RNA (EGUI_LNC061902)". Lineage: Eukaryota; Viridiplantae; Streptophyta; Magnoliopsida; Arecales; Arecaceae. The record is from RNAcentral.
CUCGCGAAUCUACACUCUAAAAAUCAGAUCUUUAUCUGAUUUGAAAGUGCUUCAGAACUCCUGAAGUUGGAGCAAUAGCCUGUCGAAAAUGUCCUGCAGCCUUCUGUUCCAGGCAUCAUCACGCCUUGGAUCUUUACCAGAUGGACGUCCAGACCCUAACCCUUGUUUGUGUGACCCAAUUAGGUUCAAUUCCGUAUGGUAAUGAGACAUGUCGUGAUCUCAUCAUCGACAUCAUCGAAACUCCUUUCGAUGGACCAGAACUCUUCUGAUUCAGACAAUUAAAAUAAUCGAUCAUCAAUAUCAUUCUAAUUGCUCCCAAAAUCCACCAAUGACACCUAGCAGUAUAUGGUGGCAACCCAUCAGAACUGAAGACGAACCUCUCGAUGCAGUUACCUGUAUGAUUAAGUUCCUCUAUCAUGAGUCCCGACUGAAUUAGGAUUAAGGUGAACUCAUCAAACCCAACAUCAGUCAUAUGAGUUAAUCGAUCGAUCCGAGUCCGAUGUGAAAUCUUAAUGAAAAACUCUUUUCUAUUAUUUCACUCUGCCAUGGUCAUGAGCUUAAGGACUCGAUCUUUCAAUUAUCAUAGGACUACUCCUCUCAUCUACCGAGAUUGAUAGAUCCCAUCUUGGUGCGAUCUAAUUUCUACAAUGAAUAUGCUACAGCCAACAUACAUCUCAGGGUUCCGAAUGGCUAAGAGACCGAGUUAUGGUGUGUCAAACUAUAACACACUCAAGGUGAACUGUCGAUGCACCUCAGGUCAAAGAACUAGACACAACUGCAGCAUCGAGCUAGUCAUCGAUGAGAAGGUAGACUUCCUUAUGACUGCUUGAUAUGGUCACGCUCAGUACUCUUGUUCUCAACGAAUAUCUGUACUCUCGCUCCGGUGUCUCCAC